This 527-nucleotide unclassified non-coding RNA is filed under the name Schizosaccharomyces pombe (fission yeast). RNAcentral describes it as "non-coding RNA (predicted)". The record is from RNAcentral. Lineage: Eukaryota; Fungi; Ascomycota; Schizosaccharomycetes; Schizosaccharomycetales; Schizosaccharomycetaceae.
CACAAUCAAACAGUGAUGAAUGUGAUUUAACCGACAUAAUUCUUGUAAAUUUUAUUCGAUAUUUGAUUGAAUCCCUUACGUUCAUACUAUCAAGAAAUAAUCUUUUGUCUAUUUAGAAUACUAACGAUUUUUCCCUUACGGCAAAACCCCUGGAAUGCAAAUGUGAAAAGCUUUGGAUUUUCUAUGAUAAAACGAUUAAAGAAUUAUAGUUAGGUUCCGUUACCGUUUCUAUUCCUUUGCUCAAUCCUUAAAUAUUUUAGGAAAUUAAAAUUUUUCAGCCAAUCUUCUUUUUUUUUCUAACUAAUGCGAAACUACAAAGUCGUUAGUAUCUUUUGCAAAAUUAUUGUUUUUUAUAAUAAAAUUAAGACACUCUUCCAAAAGGUAUUGGAAUAUAAAUUGGAGAUAGGGUAGACAUUUGUUAAUAAUUAUACAAUUUAGUUGUCGCUUAGAACCAGGAAAAAACCUUCAGCUUUCACUCGACUAAGUUGAUGAGGAACACUUAAAAAUAAAAUCAGUGAUACUUUUAC